GAUGAACGCUGGCGUCGUGCUUAACACAUGCAAGUCGAACGGAAAGGCCCAAGCUUGCUUGGGUACUCGAGUGGCGAACGGGUGAGUAACACGUGGGUGAUCUGCCCUGCACUUCGGGAUAAGCCUGGGAAACUGGGUCUAAUACCGGAUAGGACGAUGGUUUGGAUGCCAUUGUGGAAAGUUUUUUCGGUGUGGGAUGAGCUCGCGGCCUAUCAGCUUGUUGGUGGGGUAAUGGCCUACCAAGGCGUCGACGGGUAGCCGGCCUGAGAGGGUGUACGGCCACAUUGGGACUGAGAUACGGCCCAGACUCCUACGGGAGGCAGCAAUGGGGAAUAUUGCACAAUGGGCGCAAGCCUGAUGCAGCGACGCCGCGUGGGGGAUGACGGCCUUCGGGUUGUAAACUCCUUUCGCUAGGGACGAAGCGUUUUUGUGACGGUACCUGGAGAAGAAGCACCGGCUAACUACGUG
RNAcentral lists this ribosomal RNA (468 nucleotides) under uncultured bacterium. RNAcentral's name for it is "partial 16S ribosomal RNA". It matches the Rfam family "Bacterial small subunit ribosomal RNA", at positions 28 to 507 of the family's 1533-position model. The record is from RNAcentral.